AGUGAACGCUGGCGGUAGGCCUAACACAUGCAAGUCGAACGGCAGCACAGUAAGAGCUUGCUCUUACGGGUGGCGAGUGGCGGACGGGUGAGGAAUACAUCGGAAUCUACUUUUUCGUGGGGGAUAACGUAGGGAAACUUACGCUAAUACCGCAUCCGACCUCCGGUGGAAAGCAGGGGAUCUUCGGACCUUGCGCGAUUGAUUGAGCCGAUGUCGGAUUAGCUAGUUGGCGGGGUAAAGGCCCACCAAGGCGACGAUCCGUAGCUGGUCUGAGAGGAUGAUCAGCCACACUGGAACUGAGACACGGUCCAGACUCCUACGGGAGGCAGCAGUGGGGAAUAUUGGACAAUGGGCGCAAGCCUGAUCCAGCCAUACCGCGUGGGUGAAGAAGGCCUUCGGGUUGUAAAGCCCUUUUGUUGGGAAAGAAAAGCAGCAGGUUAAUACCCCGCUGUUCUGACGGUACCCAAAGAAUAAGCACCGGCUAACUUCGUG
Molecule: ribosomal RNA, 492 nt
Filed under: uncultured bacterium
Lineage: Bacteria
Description: partial 16S ribosomal RNA
Rfam family: Bacterial small subunit ribosomal RNA
Source: RNAcentral